RNAcentral lists this ribosomal RNA (1372 nucleotides) under uncultured bacterium. RNAcentral's name for it is "bacterial SSU rRNA". It matches the Rfam family "Bacterial small subunit ribosomal RNA", at positions 28 to 1381 of the family's 1533-position model. The record is from RNAcentral.
GAUGAACGCUGGCGGCGUGCCUAAUACAUGCAAGUCGAGCGAACGGACGAGAAGCUUGCUUCUCUGAUGUUAGCGGCGGACGGGUGAGUAACACGUGGAUAACCUACCUAUAAGACUGGGAUAACUUCGGGAAACCGGAGCUAAUACCGGAUGAUAUUUUGAACCGCAUGGUUCAAAAGUGAAAGACGGUCUUGCUGUCACUUAUAGAUGGAUCCGCGCUGCAUUAGCUAGUUGGUAAGGUAACGGCUUACCAAGGCAACGAUGCAUAGCCGACCUGAGAGGGUGAUCGGCCACACUGGAACUGAGACACGGUCCAGACUCCUACGGGAGGCAGCAGUAGGGAAUCUUCCGCAAUGGGCGAAAGCCUGACGGAGCAACGCCGCGUGAGUGAUGAAGGUCUUCGGAUCGUAAAACUCUGUUAUUAGGGAAGAACAUAUGUGUAAGUAACUGUGCACAUCUUGACGGUACCUAAUCAGAAAGCCACGGCUAACUACGUGCCAGCAGCCGCGGUAAUACGUAGGUGGCAAGCGUUAUCCGGAAUUAUUGGGCGUAAAGCGCGCGUAGGCGGUUUUUUAAGUCUGAUGUGAAAGCCCACGGCUCAACCGUGGAGGGUCAUUGGAAACUGGAAAACUUGAGUGCAGAAGAGGAAAGUGGAAUUCCAUGUGUAGCGGUGAAAUGCGCAGAGAUAUGGAGGAACACCAGUGGCGAAGGCGACUUUCUGGUCUGUAACUGACGCUGAUGUGCGAAAGCGUGGGGAUCAAACAGGAUUAGAUACCCUGGUAGUCCACGCCGUAAACGAUGAGUGCUAAGUGUUAGGGGGUUUCCGCCCCUUAGUGCUGCAGCUAACGCAUUAAGCACUCCGCCUGGGGAGUACGACCGCAAGGUUGAAACUCAAAGGAAUUGACGGGGACCCGCACAAGCGGUGGAGCAUGUGGUUUAAUUCGAAGCAACGCGAAGAACCUUACCAAAUCCUGACAUCCUUUGACAACUCUAGAGAUAGAGCCUUCCCCUUCGGGGGACAAAGUGACAGGUGGUGCAUGGUUGUCGUCAGCUCGUGUCGUGAGAUGUUGGGUUAAGUCCCGCAACGAGCGCAACCCUUAAGCUUAGUUGCCAUCAUUAAGUUGGGCACUCUAAGUUGACUGCCGGUGACAAACCGGAGGAAGGUGGGGAUGACGUCAAAUCAUCAUGCCCCUUAUGAUUUGGGCUACACACGUGCUACAAUGGACAAUACAAAGGGCAGCGAAACCGCGAGGUCAAGCAAAUCCCAUAAAGUUGUUCUCAGUUCGGAUUGUAGUCUGCAACUCGACUACAUGAAGCUGGAAUCGCUAGUAAUCGUAGAUCAGCAUGCUACGGUGAAUACGUUCCCGGGUCU